Molecule: long non-coding RNA, 538 nt
Organism: Magnolia sinica
Lineage: Eukaryota; Viridiplantae; Streptophyta; Magnoliopsida; Magnoliales; Magnoliaceae
Exons: 2
Source: RefSeq, a predicted model, not a curated record
UGAAGGCACGGACACUGUUGUUUAUCUAUUGCUUUGUCAAGAAUGCUUAUCAUAUGCCAUGAAUGGCUUUCAAUGUCUUACACAACUGAUGCCGGUAAUACGUCUCAACAGUUAAAAUUAUAAUGGAUAAGAUAUCCAAAAGGUCCAAGGGCUAUGCAUUUAUAGAGUAUACCACAGAAGAAGCUGCGGGUGCGGCUCUGAAAGAGAUGAAUGGGAAGAUCAUUAAUGGCUGGAUGAUAGUUGUUGAUGUUGCAAAGAUGAACCCACCUAGAUAUAGCCGGGACCACCCUAGGCCAACUGUCUGAGAUCUUAAGCUGCCCAACAAGUUCAUCUGCUCCUUGAAAUGGGCACUGCCUUUUAAGUGCUGCCGGAGGAAGAGAAGUGUAGGAGAACAUAAAAAAUUGCCUGGUCCGAGUUAAUAGUAUGAAUCAUGGAGUUCUCACUGUAGGAGAACUAAACGAGGGUUAUUAGGCAAAAUCGCCUGUCUGUACGGAUCUCACACACUUGAAAUUGCAGCAUUUUGGCCUAUUGCAGGUUU